This 468-nucleotide ribosomal RNA is filed under the name uncultured bacterium. Its description in RNAcentral is "partial 16S ribosomal RNA". It matches the Rfam family "Bacterial small subunit ribosomal RNA", at positions 28 to 507 of the family's 1533-position model. The record is from RNAcentral.
GACGAACGCUGGCGGCGUGCUUAACACAUGCAAGUCGAACGGAAAGGCCCUGCUUUUGUGGGGUGCUCGAGUGGCGAACGGGUGAGUAACACGUGAGUAACCUGCCCUUGACUUUGGGAUAACUUCAGGAAACUGGGGCUAAUACCGGAUAGGAGCUCCUGCUGCAUGGGGGGGGUUGGAAAGUUUCGGCGGUUGGGGAUGGACUCGCGGCUUAUCAGCUUGUUGGUGGGGUAGUUGCUUACCAAGGCUUUGACGGGUAGCCGGCCUGAGAGGGUGACCGGCCACAUUGGGCCUGAGAUACGGCCCAGACUCCUACGGGAGGCAGCAGUGGGGAAUAUUGCACAAUGGGCGGACGCCUGAUGCAGCGACGCCGCGUGCGGGAUGACGGCCUUCGGGUUAUAAACCGCUUUCGCCUGUGACGAAGCGUGAGUGACGGUAAUGGGUAAAGAAGCACCGGCUAACUACGUG